ACGCAGCUCUAAGAGCAUUAGCUCUGACGGAGCUGAGCACUCGUUGAAUACACGACGUACACAAACGCAGCCCAGACUCAAUUUUCCAGGAGCAAUUCCAUGUUUCAGCCACCAGUUCUGUAAUCUGUUCAGGGCUGGGCACGAGGGGAAAUUGUCUCUAGUGAAGACAGAUGUGAAGAGAUGUUAAACCAUGCUUUCAUCUCCUGUUUUCCACAGAUGUGGUCCUGGCUUGGAAGAGUCUUCAGAAAGCCAAAGAAGUGGUACGUGUGGUCCAGGGGGACCAUUACCUGUCACAAAGCUUUAUUGCUCCCUGCCAGCUCCCCAUGUGUUCCCUCAGUGGAUUUUUUUUUUUUUUUUUUUUUUUUUUUUUAUGGAGAUAGUGUAGCUGAAAGCAGGAGAAACGUGCCGUUUUGUUUUCCUUUUGCAACAAACAUACAACCUCUUUAACCAUUCACCAACUGACCAAAAGGGAUAAGGAGAAAAGCAAGGAGCCUUACAAAAUUGCACAAAACUCUUGGAAAGAAAUGAGGACAGGUAAAGGUUUGCCUUGCUUGUGUCUGAAGCCCUGAGCAGAACAAUAGCUGACUCCCACUGAGCCAGGACAUCCUCUGGUUUCUCCCUGUCUUAUUGUCCUCUUAGUAGGAGACACAAUAAAAUUUACAUCAGGCACACUCAGAUGCAAUCAUAACCCUGAAGUUACGUGGACGAGCAGAGAAUAUUACCCAAACACAGUGUCGCUUGCACGGCCUGAUGCUCGUACUGUGCUGCUGAAGUCGCUGUUGGCUUGAGCUGCUUUGAGCUCAAGACAUUUUUAGAAACCCUUAGAAGGGCCCUGGUAAAAACCUUAGGCACAAAUACAUGCAAAGUGUAAAUAAUGGGGAGAGAGGUGAUUUCAUCUCUUAUCUUCCCAGUCAAUUGCAUUCUUUCCAGCCCUAGGAAAUAGCACCUGGAACAUGCUCAGACAUGCCAGUAUUUACAGAGUAACUAGGAGCUGCAAAAUUAAUCAGAGAAGCAGUGUGUGCCAGCAAAAGGCUACCAUGAAAAAAAACAUAUGUCUCCCUUCAAAGGAAAAAUCUGCCUUUUCACAGCUACAAAGGAUUGAAAACAAAUUGUAUCAUCAAACGUGGAGCCGUGCCAAAUUGCAGACAGCCAGAAGAAAGCUUUGGUGUGAAAAAAGCUUUGAUGGGGAGAGAAGCAGAGAUGAAACAGCUUUGAUUGAGAAAAAGAGCAAUGAGGUUCCCUUGUCCUGCAGGUAAUGUUCAUUAACAUUAAUGUUCAGCGCUUGGGGGAUGGAGAGGCAAUGGCACACAAAAAGGGAUUUAAAAUUCUAGGAUGCAGGACCUCAGAAUAAAGUUAAGCAUCAUUUCA
Molecule: long non-coding RNA, 1368 nt
Filed under: Anas platyrhynchos platyrhynchos (common mallard)
Lineage: Eukaryota; Metazoa; Chordata; Aves; Anseriformes; Anatidae
Description: lncRNA (ENSAPLG00000029269.1)
Source: RNAcentral